This 261-nucleotide ribosomal RNA is filed under the name uncultured bacterium. Its description in RNAcentral is "partial 16S ribosomal RNA". It matches the Rfam family "Bacterial small subunit ribosomal RNA", at positions 92 to 354 of the family's 1533-position model. The record is from RNAcentral.
CGACCGGCGCACGGGUGCGUAACGCGUAUGCAACCUACCUGUAACAGGGGGAUAACACUGAGAAAUCGGUACUAAUACCGCAUAACACUAUGAGAGGCAUCUCUUGUGGUUGAAAGCUUCGGCGGUUACAGAUGGGCAUGCGUUGUAUUAGCUGGUUGGUAAGGUAACGGCUUACCAAGGCGACGAUACAUAGGGGGACUGAGAGGUUAACCCCCCACAUUGGUACUGAGACACGGACCAAACUCCUACGGGAGGCAGCAG